AGGCACGUAGCUCAGGGGGAGAGCGCUACCUUGACGCGGUAGAGGCCGGCGGUUCGAAACCGCCCGUGCCUACUA
Molecule: transfer RNA, 75 nt
Filed under: Pseudomonadota bacterium
Lineage: Bacteria; Pseudomonadati; Pseudomonadota
Description: Proteobacteria bacterium (hot springs metagenome) tRNA-Val
Rfam family: tRNA
About the family: Transfer RNA (tRNA) molecules are approximately 80 nucleotides in length. Their secondary structure includes four short double-helical elements and three loops (D, anti-codon, and T loops).
Source: RNAcentral